GAUGAAGAACGUAGCGAAAUGCGAUAAGUAAUGUGAAUUGCAGAAUUCAGUGAAUCAUCGAAUCUUUGAACGCACAUUGCGCCCGCCAGUAUUCUGGCGGGCAUGCCUGUUCGAGCGUCAUUUCAACCAUCAAGCCCCCGGCUUGUGUUGGGGACCUGCGGCUGCCGCAGGCCCUGAAAAGCAGUGGCGGGCUCGCUGUCACACCGAGCGUAGUAGCAUACAUCUCGCUCUGGGCGUGCUGCGGGUUCCGGCCGUUAAACCACCUUCAUAACCCAAGGUUGACCUCGGAUCAGGUAGGAAGACCCGCUGAACUUAAGCAUAUAAAUAAGCGGAGA
This 335-nucleotide unclassified non-coding RNA is filed under the name soil metagenome. RNAcentral's name for it is "partial contains 5.8S ribosomal RNA, internal transcribed spacer 2, and large subunit ribosomal RNA". The stretch from base 1 to 120 matches the Rfam family "5.8S ribosomal RNA", at positions 35 to 154 of the family's 154-position model. The record is from RNAcentral.